Molecule: non-coding RNA, 157 nt
Filed under: uncultured Paramuribaculum sp.
Lineage: Bacteria; Pseudomonadati; Bacteroidota; Bacteroidia; Bacteroidales; Muribaculaceae
Source: RNAcentral
CGGAUGCCAACUGCGGCAUUCGAUAAAAAGGGAAUCAGGUGAAAAUCCUGGACAGACCCGCUGCUGUAAUUCCCCGUAUUCCUGAAGAAUCAUGCCACUGGCUCACGCCGGGAAGGCUCUCCGGGAAGGGAAAAGUCAGAAGACCUGCCAAGACAAC